RNAcentral lists this ribosomal RNA (537 nucleotides) under uncultured bacterium. RNAcentral describes it as "bacterial SSU rRNA". It matches the Rfam family "Bacterial small subunit ribosomal RNA", at positions 92 to 630 of the family's 1533-position model. The record is from RNAcentral.
CGCACGGUGCACGGGUGCGUAACACGUGGGCAACCUGCCCUCCAAAGGGGGAUAACCCGCCGAAAGGCGGGCUAAUACCGCAUGACAUUCCGGUGACUUCGGUCGCCGGAAUCAAAGCUCGUAAGGGCGUUGGAGGAGGGGCCCGCGGCCGAUUAGCUUGUUGGCGAGGUAACGGCUCACCAAGGCUUUGAUCGGUAGCCGGUCUGAGAGGAUGGCCGGCCACACUGGAACUGAGACACGGUCCAGACUCCUACGGGAGGCAGCAGUGGGGAAUCUUGCGCAAUGGGCGAAAGCCUGACGCAGCGACGCCGCGUGGGGGAUGAAGCUUCUCGGAGUGUAAACCCCUUUCGACCCGGACGAAACGCCCGCAAGGGCUUGACGGUACGGGUAUAAGAAGCCCCGGCUAACUACGUGCCAGCAGCCGCGGUAAGACGUAGGGGGCCAGCGUUGCUCGGAAUUACUGGGCGUAAAGGGUUCGUAGGCGGUGCGGUAAGUCGGAAGUGAAAUCUCUGGGCUUAACCCAGAGGCUGCUUUCGA